GCUGGUGCAAAAGUAAUGGCGG
Molecule: microRNA, 22 nt
Filed under: Homo sapiens (human)
Lineage: Eukaryota; Metazoa; Chordata; Mammalia; Primates; Hominidae
Description: hsa-miR-548q
Gene: hsa-miR-548q
Source: miRBase by way of RNAcentral